This 925-nucleotide ribosomal RNA is filed under the name Staphylococcus aureus. RNAcentral's name for it is "partial 23S ribosomal RNA". It matches the Rfam family "Bacterial large subunit ribosomal RNA", at positions 806 to 1731 of the family's 2925-position model. The record is from RNAcentral. Lineage: Bacteria; Bacillati; Bacillota; Bacilli; Caryophanales; Staphylococcaceae.
GAACUGAGGGUAGCGGAGAAAUUCCAAUCGAACCUGGAGAUAGCUGGUUCUCUCCGAAAUAGCUUUAGGGCUAGCCUCAAGUGAUGAUUAUUGGAGGUAGAGCACUGUUUGGACGAGGGGCCCCUCUCGGGUUACCGAAUUCAGACAAACUCCGAAUGCCAAUUAAUUUAACUUGGGAGUCAGAACAUGGGUGAUAAGGUCCGUGUUCGAAAGGGAAACAGCCCAGACCACCAGCUAAGGUCCCAAAAUAUAUGUUAAGUGGAAAAGGAUGUGGCGUUGCCCAGACAACUAGGAUGUUGGCUUAGAAGCAGCCAUCAUUUAAAGAGUGCGUAAUAGCUCACUAGUCGAGUGACACUGCGCCGAAAAUGUACCGGGGCUAAACAUAUUACCGAAGCUGUGGAUUGUCCUUUGGACAAUGGUAGGAGAGCGUUCUAAGGGCGUUGAAGCAUGAUCGUAAGGACAUGUGGAGCGCUUAGAAGUGAGAAUGCCGGUGUGAGUAGCGAAAGACGGGUGAGAAUCCCGUCCACCGAUUGACUAAGGUUUCCAGAGGAAGGCUCGUCCGCUCUGGGUUAGUCGGGUCCUAAGCUGAGGCCGACAGGCGUAGGCGAUGGAUAACAGGUUGAUAUUCCUGUACCACCUAUAAUCGUUUUAAUCGAUGGGGGGACGCAGUAGGAUAGGCGAAGCGUGCGAUUGGAUUGCACGUCUAAGCAGUAAGGCUGAGUAUUAGGCAAAUCCGGUACUCGUUAAGGCUGAGCUGUGAUGGGGAGAAGACAUUGUGUCUUCGAGUCGUUGAUUUCACACUGCCGAGAAAAGCCUCUAGAUAGAAAAUAGGUGCCCGUACCGCAAACCGACACAGGUAGUCAAGAUGAGAAUUCUAAGGUGAGCGAGCGAACUCUCGUUAAGGAACUCGGCAAAAUGACCCCGU